CAGAGGGUGCGAGCGUUAAAUCGGAAUUACUGGGCGUAAAGCGAGUGUAGGUGGCUCAUUAAAGUCACAUGUGAAAUCCCCGGGCUUAACCUGGGAACUGCAUGUGAUACUGGUGGUGCUAGAAUAUGUGAGAGGGAGGUAGAAUUCCAGGUGUAGCGGUGGAAAUGCGUAGAGAUCUGGAUGAAUACCGAUGGCGAAGGCAGCUUCCUGGCAUAAUAUUGACACUGAGAUUCGAAAGCGUGGGUAGCAAACAGGAUU
This 258-nucleotide ribosomal RNA is filed under the name uncultured bacterium. RNAcentral's name for it is "partial 16S ribosomal RNA". It matches the Rfam family "Bacterial small subunit ribosomal RNA", at positions 526 to 779 of the family's 1533-position model. The record is from RNAcentral.